RNAcentral lists this ribosomal RNA (1265 nucleotides) under Staphylococcus aureus. Its description in RNAcentral is "partial 23S ribosomal RNA". It matches the Rfam family "Bacterial large subunit ribosomal RNA", at positions 1 to 1267 of the family's 2925-position model. The record is from RNAcentral. Lineage: Bacteria; Bacillati; Bacillota; Bacilli; Caryophanales; Staphylococcaceae.
GAUUAAGUUAUUAAGGGCGCACGGUGGAUGCCUUGGCACUAGAAGCCGAUGAAGGACGUUACUAACGACGAUAUGCUUUGGGGAGCUGUAAGUAAGCUUUGAUCCAGAGAUUUCCGAAUGGGGAAACCCAGCAUGAGUUAUGUCAUGUUAUCGAUAUGUGAAUACAUAGCAUAUCAGAAGGCACACCCGGAGAACUGAAACAUCUUAGUACCCGGAGGAAGAGAAAGAAAAUUCGAUUCCCUUAGUAGCGGCGAGCGAAACGGGAAGAGCCCAAACCAACAAGCUUGCUUGUUGGGGUUGUAGGACACUCUAUACGGAGUUACAAAGGACGACAUUAGACGAAUCAUCUGGAAAGAUGAAUCAAAGAAGGUAAUAAUCCUGUAGUCGAAAAUGUUGUCUCUCUUGAGUGGAUCCUGAGUACGACGGAGCACGUGAAAUUCCGUCGGAAUCUGGGAGGACCAUCUCCUAAGGCUAAAUACUCUCUAGUGACCGAUAGUGAACCAGUACCGUGAGGGAAAGGUGAAAAGCACCCCGGAAGGGGAGUGAAAUAGAACCUGAAACCGUGUGCUUACAAGUAGUCAGAGCCCGUUAAUGGGUGAUGGCGUGCCUUUUGUAGAAUGAACCGGCGAGUUACGAUUUGAUGCAAGGUUAAGCAGUAAAUGUGGAGCCGUAGCGAAAGCGAGUCUGAAUAGGGCGUUUAGUAUUUGGUCGUAGACCCGAAACCAGGUGAUCUACCCUUGGUCAGGUUGAAGUUCAGGUAACACUGAAUGGAGGACCGAACCGACUUACGUUGAAAAGUGAGCGGAUGAACUGAGGGUAGCGGAGAAAUUCCAAUCGAACCUGGAGAUAGCUGGUUCUCUCCGAAAUAGCUUUAGGGCUAGCCUCAAGUGAUGAUUAUUGGAGGUAGAGCACUGUUUGGACGAGGGGCCCCUCUCGGGUUACCGAAUUCAGACAAACUCCGAAUGCCAAUUAAUUUAACUUGGGAGUCAGAACAUGGGUGAUAAGGUCCGUGUUCGAAAGGGAAACAGCCCAGACCACCAGCUAAGGUCCCAAAAUAUAUGUUAAGUGGAAAAGGAUGUGGCGUUGCCCAGACAACUAGGAUGUUGGCUUAGAAGCAGCCAUCAUUUAAAGAGUGCGUAAUAGCUCACUAGUCGAGUGACACUGCGCCGAAAAUGUACCGGGGCUAAACAUAUUACCGAAGCUGUGGAUUGUCCUUUGGACAAUGGUAGGAGAGCGUUCUAAGGGCGUUGAAGCAUGAUCGUAAG